AGUUCUUAGUCCAGUUGAAAACACAGCACAUUUCAGAUUAAAAAUUUGUGAAUGACUAACUCAUAUACCAGUAUAUACUCUAUCCAGGUAAGUAUAUAAUUAAUCUGCCAUUUGAGAUCAUUGUGUCAGCAAGCAAAACCAAUCAGACAUGCGCUGCAUGCAUGAACAUUGGAAAAAAGUCACACUUACUAUGAUACUAUCGACCGAACUCUGGAGGAUAGCUACAAACUGGUUUGUUCAAGUCUUAGAUACACAUAUAUUCUUAGAUAUACGUAUAUUCUUAGAUACACGUAUAUUCUUAGAUACACGUAUAUUCUUAGAUAUUAUUGCUGACAAAGUAGCAAGAGGGUGUAGGUUUAAUUUGUUUCUGUAGAGAUGGAUAGCAGCUUCCGAUCAGAAAGGCGACUCCUCCGUCCUAUCAAAGAAACAACCAGAAGGACCACCAUUAGGCAGCAGAGCUAGCCUAACUACAUUUUCA
RNAcentral lists this long non-coding RNA (478 nucleotides) under Populus tremula. RNAcentral describes it as "long non-coding RNA (PTRE_LNC001809)". The record is from RNAcentral. Lineage: Eukaryota; Viridiplantae; Streptophyta; Magnoliopsida; Malpighiales; Salicaceae.